This is a non-coding RNA of Benincasa hispida (wax gourd), 278 nucleotides long. The record is from RefSeq and is a predicted model, not a curated record. Lineage: Eukaryota; Viridiplantae; Streptophyta; Magnoliopsida; Cucurbitales; Cucurbitaceae.
AUUUUUUGCCAAAACCUUUUCUUUUUAUUUUCCUUUCCUUUUUGUUGCUAGUGUCCAAAGUAUCAUGAACACCUAUCUAUUUGUAAUUUUAUAAAUAUAUAUAUAUAUACUAUAUAUAUAUAUAUAAGUAGAUAACUUCAUCAAUGAACUGCUGGUUAACCAUGUUUUGUUGAUAUCCCCAAAAGGAUGUACACUGCAACAUCUUGAGAUCCGUUGAUUCUAUGGAAGUUUAAAAGGGAAGUGGAAAUUCUUGGUCCACAUAGUUGACUUGUGGAAAA